This 405-nucleotide long non-coding RNA is filed under the name Capsicum annuum. Its description in RNAcentral is "long non-coding RNA (CANN_LNC002250)". Lineage: Eukaryota; Viridiplantae; Streptophyta; Magnoliopsida; Solanales; Solanaceae. The record is from RNAcentral.
AGAAAGGGGUUCAUAGGUGUUAGGGGAUACAUAGCCUGAAGGGGAUUUGGAAAGGAGGCUUGAUUUUGUGGAUGAAAAGAAUUUGGUUGGUAAGUGGGAAGGACGUUUUGGAAAUUGGGAAGGCUCUACGGACUUUGCGAGUAGUUUGGCAGAAUUUGAGAAGGAUUUCGCAGAUUUGGACAUGAAUUUGGUGGAUUCAAAGGUAGGUUUGACGUAUUUUGUGGAUUUGGGAGUGAAUCUUACGGAUUUGGAAAUGUGUUUUGAGGAUUUGGAAAUGUGUUUUAAGGAUUUGGGAAUGGAUUCGAAGGUGGGUUCUGUGGGGUUACGGAUGGAUUUUGUGGAUGGUAGACGUUUGGAUAAUUUUCACGAUUAGUAUUUUGGACAAAUGGAGGAGCGGAGCCGGAU